RNA transcript from Triticum aestivum (bread wheat), 2945 nucleotides. RefSeq lists it as uncharacterized. The transcript is spliced from 5 exons. The record is from RefSeq and is a predicted model, not a curated record. NCBI's taxonomy places the organism in Eukaryota, Viridiplantae, Streptophyta, Magnoliopsida, Poales, Poaceae.
CGUUAAGAGAGACCUGAAGGAUUGGAGUAUCGACAAAGAGCUAGCUAUGGACAGGGGUGCGUGGAAGCUUGCUAUCCAUGUGCCAGAGCCAUGAGUUGGUUGCGAGAUCUUAUGGGUUUCACCUCUAGCCUACCCCAACUUGUUUGGGACUAAAGGCUUCGUUGUUGUUGUUAUAACAGUUCUGUUUGUGCAUUUAAGGAUGUUGCUUUGCAUACUGUGUCGUAGCUUAGAUAAGUUUUCUCUUCACCUUGUAGCUGAUCCAUUAUAUACUCAUUUAUAUCGCGAACUGUUUCGUUCCUUGGACAUAAUAUUGCUCUUUCUUCUAAGAAUUCUCGCUGACGAUACCUCUCCUGCAAAUUUGGAUAUAUGCUUUCCACAAUUGUUUUUUUGGGAUCAUUUCCUUUCUCCAGUAGUAUGUCACUUGGUAUUUUUAUCAAUUCCUCACCUUCUGAUGAUGUAUUUGUUCCAUCGCCAAUAUUCAGAAUCCACUCUGCAAAUUCUGCUACCCGUUGUUUCUCUGAUUCAUCAUGUGUUGUGCAGUUGAGUCGCAUGUUCUUUGUUAGCUUCAAUAUGUGAAAGUGCUUCCAAAGAUGUGACCUUUUAAUGGAUGCAGUGACUAUGUUGUGUCUUCUUCCCUUUGGUAUAACAGGAAGGAUCUGGCGGAAGUCCCCUCCUAGAACCACUGUCAUGCCACCGAAUGGUCUCUUGCUGCUGUUGACAUUUUUAUGCCUUAAUAUAUCCCUUAAAGUCCUGUCUAGCGCCUCAAAGCAUAUCUUGUUUGCCAUUGGAGCCUCAUCCCAUAGUAUUAGUGCCGUCUUCUUUAGUAGUUCUGCCAAGUGUGAACCUUGUUUGAUGUCACAUGUUGACUCUUCUGUAAGGAUUAGGGGGAUGUGGAACCUCGAGUGUGCUGUUCUACCUCCCUGUAGAAGCAGAGCUGCAAUACCACAUGACGCCACUGCUAGUACUAUCUUGCCUUCGGAACGCAACUUUGUUGUGAUUGCCUUCCACAGAUAUGUCUUACCUGUCCCACCAUACCCGUCCACAAAUAUUAGUUUUCCCAAAUGUUUGUUAACUGAUUCCAUUACUGAGUCAAAUGCAUGGCGUUGUUCUGAGUUCAGACUACCAAAGAUCCUUGAAUGCUCUUCUUUUUGCUCCUCUUUGUUGUAGUUAAUCUCUUCAUUGAGUAGUCUGUUUCCAAGUUCUUUUAUUUCUGAAGAAUCUGGAAGUUCUAUUCCGGGGUAUUCCUUAAGUGUCUUCCAGCUUGUCUCAUUAGCUUCUCUAUUUCCACCAAGGUGUGUCCUUGCUUCUGUGAAGCUGUGAGGGAAAGUGUAGGAUGCUUCAAGAGUUUUCUCUGUCUAUAUGCCGUGUCUUCGCUUAGAACUUCCCAGCAUGAUUCCCACAUAUUUUUCGGGCUUGUGACUUCACAGUGGCAUAAGAUUGUUGUGAAUAGUUGUCUUAGCUGGUUGCCAGUCGCCCAGUUUGAUGCCUCAUUUAUGCACUCAAGCCACUCUUUGUCGUCAUCGAGGAAUCCUAGUGCUUCGCAAGUAGAUCUGUAUGAUGUGUGGACAACUCCAUUUACUGUUCUGAUGUCUUCGAAACAUGUGCAUCCUUUUUUGACGUUAAGUAGCAUUCGCAUGUAGUAUUUUUCUCCACUUGCUGGAUGGGCACAAUAUAUUCUUCCAACUGAUCUUCCUUUCUUCCUUUUGCUCCACUUUGUCUCUUUCUUCUUCCAUGCCCAUUUUGACGGGAACUCUGCAUAUGUUAAUUCUCUGGCUUCUUCACACAUCUUGUUUGUCUCCAUCCACUGUGUGGAAAGGCAACCUUUCGACGCAGGGAUCUCUGAAGUUCAUUUCGAAUUGAAAUAUUCUCCAACACGCGUCAUUCCCUGAUAUAUAUGUGCACUCUAGGUUUCUCACAUUCCUUGCUAUGUGGCCCACCUUUUCUUUUCAUCGUUUCUUCCUGCACAAUAGAGAGUGCAAAUAUGAUGUUAAAGAGGAUGAUAUUAUAAUAUCAUUACGGACAGUGUCCGACCUAGAAACUGUGGUUUGCUGGGGCGACGGACAGGGGAUUACUCUGCUCCGCCACUUCAGACCUGGGCCGUCCUGCUUCGCCACUUCAUACCUGGGCCGUCCGAGCCUACUUGCCCCAAUGAAGUAAAGGAGAUCAACUUUCAAGACCAGUGAUUGUGCUGAAAGCUUUAAUUUUGAAGAGGAUGUUAAGUUCCAAUCAUCGGGUGAAGACACAAAUAUUGUAUAUAUUCUUGUUGGACUGGGAAUGCCAAUUCUAGGAAUUGUAACGUUUGUGAUAGGAGGCUCAUUUUUCUCUCAAUAUUUUCCUGUUAUCCUCAAUAUUUAAUAAGCUGCUAUUGAUCUCAGAAAGAUCUGACAGUUUUGAUUUUUUCUACCUUAGAUGACAUCUUUUACCUAUGCUAAUCCCAUGCAGAGUGUAGAAUCACAUUAACUACCCCUAUAUUCUCCAUCCAUGGAAUCAAUAUGUACGCAUUGUGUGAAAAGGUAUUCAAAUCCUUUCUUUGAUGGUGUUUAAGAGUUGGCUAACCAUAUAAUAUGAAAGAGGGCAAAAGUAUUAAAUAUAAACACUAAAAUGAUGUGCUAAGAUGGUGCCCGCACAUUUCAGAGAACUAACACAGAGCUACAAUGUUUUCAAACACUUCAUGUAUAAGUUCCUAGUUAAGUCCUACAAAACUAAUACUGAAUUACUCCCUUCGAUCUAUAUUAAUUGUCGCAGUUUUAGUACAACUUUGUACUACUAAAGUUGUACUAAAUAUGUGACAAUUAAUAUGGAUCGGGGAGUAGCUAAUUAUGUUUUAAUGACAACACUCACAUCUUCUUGCAUGUUGACAAAAAAAAUACAUUAGAUAGAGCUAACAUUGAUCUAAAACAUCUUCAACUAUAUCAUGUCAAAAUUUCAUGUCUAAGGCCCCCAUA